Gossypium arboreum is the source of this 1571-nucleotide long non-coding RNA. RefSeq lists it as uncharacterized. The record is from RefSeq and is a predicted model, not a curated record. The transcript has 5 exons. NCBI's taxonomy places the organism in Eukaryota, Viridiplantae, Streptophyta, Magnoliopsida, Malvales, Malvaceae.
GUGGUGCAAUUAUAAGAUGCCACCUGUAACAGUAGUAUUUAUCCUCUGCUAUCUACCGACUCUUUACAUAUAUAUAAGUAGCUCCGGCCUUUCUCUUGGUUCCAUUUCCCUCCAAACUCGUUCAAAUCAAAAGCUUCCUAUACCAGAAAGCCUCUUCAUUUUCAUCUCCUCUUUCGCCAAUGUCGAAUUUCUUAGCGGCGGCUACGCUUGCAAAUCCAAAUCCAAUAAAGUCUUUCAAAGGUUUAAUGCUCGGCUUGGAAAGAUGAUGGAAUGACUGUGUUUUCUGAAGGAUGUGAUAAGCAAGUGAAAAUAUGGCCUUUAAUGUCUUGUGGCCAGCCAAUGGCUGCGGCUGUGCAUGAUGCACCUAUCAAAGAGAUGGCUUGGGACCCUGAAAUUAGUUUGUUAGUCACAGGAAGCUGGGUCAAGACAUUGAAGUGAGUCAAACAUUGCAUAUCUGUAUGAAUUAAUAGUUUAAAUGCUUCUGAAAGUUUUCCACUUGUUGAUUAGUUUUAUUUGGUUGGUACGAAAAAGAAGGGGUAAGGAAGGCAUUUUCUUUUUACAUGAAUUUCCUACUUAUGGUGAAGCAUCCUCUCACGAAGGUUGUUGGCACAUUAGAUAGAAAUUUGAAAAAUCUUCAACUUAUCGCAUCUGCAUAGCACAAGAGGUGUUUGCAGCCGUCCCAGAUCUGCAAGGCUUCUUGGUCUGCAUCAAAACCUAUUUAUCAUAAUGGCCAUAUGCAGGUGUAGUCAGCCUAGGCCGUGCAGCACUCUCAAUUAUGGUGGUUUCCCUAAUACAACGGCAAAGGCAUACAUUUUUUUUUCAUCCAUCUCCCAGAGGUAUAUAUUUACUAGGUCUCCUCUGUUCUUAAUGCCAUUAGUAUUUAAGCUUGGCGUGUGUUUCCCUGCUAUUUAAACCGAUUCUUUUAUGCUUCUGAAUCAAUCAAAUAUUGGAUCCUCACAAGCAGAGAUGUUAACAUUGAUCUGUAUAUCCCUGUACAGAUAUCGUGUUAAAUAGAUACAUCAGACUUUUUAUAGACCCUAUUGUAGAUAUUGAAUUUUGUCCCAGUAAAUAAUAUUAAGAAAUGAUGGGAGAAAAAAAAAGUUACGUGGUGAAUGGAUUUUUACUGUUUUUAUUCAUGUAAACAGUCUUUACUAACGUUUUCAGUACACAAAAACAUGGGGGGGUUUGUACUUUGUUUUUUUGCUACCACACCUAAUAAUGUUUUCUUGACUCUUCAGUUGGCAAGGCAACCCUAUAAAAGUUACAAAGCCAAGAGUAAACAACUCCGUACAAGUAAAUAUAGAUUACAACAGGAUCAAUGGGGGGAGGGGGCGAAAAAAGGAAAAAAAGGAACUAUAUGCACAAAUGUGAACAAUGAGGAGUCCAAAACAACAGAACAAAGUGUUGGAGAAGACCCUUUGUAAUUGCAUUUUUGCAGCGAGUGGGUCAUCUAGGACCAGAUAAUUCAUCUGGAGGGAUGUGUGAUGUUGAGUCGGCAAUAAUCCAAUUAGCAUUGGGUUGGUGGUGGCUGUAGUGGUGGGCUUGGUUGAACUCUUGACGAACCAUUUCCU